This 789-nucleotide long non-coding RNA is filed under the name Androctonus crassicauda. Lineage: Eukaryota; Metazoa; Arthropoda; Arachnida; Scorpiones; Buthidae. The record is from RNAcentral.
CUUCCCUUCUCCACAAUAGGUCUUGGCCCUAUAGGAUCUUUAUUCAUUUUUAUAUAGGCAAAGAGGCUGGGGCUGUUACCUUCGGAUGUUUCCAUAUCUCUGGGAAUAAUUUAUGCCCUACAAUCCUAUCCACUGCCACUUUUAAUUGCACGGUAGGAUCUUUGUUAAGUAGCAUUGGUUGUGUUGUUUCUAUAUAAUCUUGGAGGAACUUAUCAUACCUUUGUCUUUCUAGGAGAACCAUUUUUCUUGUUUUAUCUUCUCUCAUUAGUGUAUUAAUUUUCCCUCAUCCACCAUAAUGUCUGUUUCAUAAGAUGACUUAUAUUGCUAUGCUGGGUCUGCUGUUCCUUAUGUUGAUUUUGCUUAGAUCUCUCAGGGAUGAAUUUCCAUCUUAACUUUUGUUUCUCAAGUUCUUGGUCCUCUAAAUUGUUUAGUACAUCCUCCACUACUGGUAUUUCAUCUAGCAAAGCCAAUUUAUUGAGUAUUACACAUAUUGGUCCUUUCAUAAUGAGCUCUUCGGCAUAUGCUGAUACUGCUAUAUUUCUCACCAUUAUUAGCGCUUUGUGUAAUUCUACUCAUGUUUUCCUCGAGUAGAUAUGCUGCUUCUUAAAUAUCCAUCUAAGCUUUUAUAUAUAUUUUCUCCUUAAUUUUUUCUUCAGUUCUUCAGCAUUUAAUUUUUAUUUUAGAAGAGUGGAAAUGUAUAUAAUGGAGAAGCAAGAUAUGGAGAGAGAGAUUAGGUAUAUAUAUAAAGUCUGGUAUGAGCAUGAUUAUAAUAAGCAAUUUUUAAAGAAC